Molecule: long non-coding RNA, 627 nt
Organism: Mauremys reevesii (Reeves's turtle)
Lineage: Eukaryota; Metazoa; Chordata; Testudines; Geoemydidae
Exons: 3
Source: RefSeq, a predicted model, not a curated record
UCUCUGGGCUGGCGGGACAGAGCAGCCAUGCUACACGCAGCUAAGCCAGGUCUGAUCAUAAAUCGUCCGAUCGUGCCUAGAACUACGUAUCUGAACUCCACCCGUUAAAAUGACUGGUUACGGUAGAGCUAAGCAGGACUUAAGUUUCACUAUUAAACUGAGGUCCAAGAAGGAGACCAGCUGGGAAAGAAAGGAAAAGGAGAAGAAGAGUAAGAAAGAAAAUGGAGGAGAAAGGAAAAAAAGACCUGGAAGAAGAACUCACCUCUAAGACACAGCUCGAGAGCAGAGCUGCUAGAAUCUUCCGCACAACCGUGACAUGCAGCAACCAGAACGUAGAUGAGACUGACCUUGCCUGGCCAACAGGGAAAGUCCUCCUGCAUGAUCAGGAUUGAAGUAUCGACGAAAAUGCUAAAAGCCACGACAGUACGAAAUGAAGUGAAUUCUACCGAGAGGACGUAGACACAAAUCUUUUUGAAGAUGAAAUGAACAUUUCAUUCAUUUUAUCGAAAAUGAUGAGGUCUGUGUUUCGAGAUCACCAGUUGAUUUGUAUGUGAUGGUUUGCAGGCAACCUUUCCAAAUAUAGAAACUAUUCUGAAAACAUUUUUAACAAUACCUGUCACAAGUGCU